ACUCCUACGGGAGGCAGCAGUGGGGAAUCUUAGACAAUGGGCGCAAGCCUGAUCUAGCCAUGCCGCGUGAGUGACGAAGGCCUUAGGGUCGUAAAGCUCUUUCGCCAGAGAUGAUAAUGACAGUAUCUGGUAAAGAAACCCGGCUAACUCCGUGCCAGCAGCCGCGGUAAUACGGAGGGGGUUAGCGUUGUUCGGAAUUACUGGGCGUAAAGCGCACGUAGGCGGAUUGGAAAGUUGGGGGUGAAAUCCCAGGGCUCAACCCUGGAACUGCCUCCAAAACUCCCAGUCUGGAGUUCGAGAGAGGUGAGUGGAAUUCCGAGUGUAGAGGUGAAAUUCGUAGAUAUUCGGAGGAACACCAGUGGCGAAGGCGGCUCACUGGCUCGAUACUGACGCUGAGGUGCGAAAGUGUGGGGAGCAAACAGGAUUAGAUACCCUGGUAGGACAGUG
This 447-nucleotide ribosomal RNA is filed under the name uncultured bacterium. RNAcentral's name for it is "bacterial SSU rRNA". It matches the Rfam family "Bacterial small subunit ribosomal RNA", at positions 335 to 799 of the family's 1533-position model. The record is from RNAcentral.